CGCACAUUGCGCCCUUUGGUAUUCCGAAGGGCAUGCCCGUUCGAGCGUCAUUUCACCAAUCAAGCCUGGCUUGGUGUUGGGCCACGGGGGAACCCGGGCCUCAAAGUUCGCCGGCCGACCGUCUCGGAUCUCAGCGUUGUGGCAUCAAAACCCGCGGAGAGAUGGGGCGGACGCGCCGUGACAAAACCCCUUUUUAUCAAAGGUUGACCUCGGAUCGGGUAGGGAUACCCGCUGAACUUAA
RNAcentral lists this unclassified non-coding RNA (241 nucleotides) under Capnodiales sp. RNAcentral describes it as "partial contains 5.8S ribosomal RNA, internal transcribed spacer 2, and large subunit ribosomal RNA". The record is from RNAcentral. Lineage: Eukaryota; Fungi; Ascomycota; Dothideomycetes; Capnodiales.